GAGCGGUGGCGCGAAGAUUUGAAUCUUG
RNAcentral lists this small RNA (28 nucleotides) under Bombyx mori (domestic silkworm). RNAcentral describes it as "ovarian small RNA-805". Lineage: Eukaryota; Metazoa; Arthropoda; Insecta; Lepidoptera; Bombycidae. The record is from RNAcentral.